GCUAAUCUCACAAAACCGAUCGUAGUCCGGAUCGCAGUCUGCAACUCGACUGCGUGAAGUCGGAAUCGCUAGUAAUCGCGAAUCAGAAUGUCGCGGUGAAUACGUUCCCGGGACUUGUACACACCGCCCGUCACACCAUGGGAGUGGGUUGCACCAGAAGUAGCUAGUCUAACCUUCGGGGGACGGUUACCACGGUGUGAUUCAUGACUGGGGUGAAGUCGUAACAAGGUAACC
RNAcentral lists this ribosomal RNA (234 nucleotides) under Pseudomonas sp. arc19. Its description in RNAcentral is "partial 16S ribosomal RNA". It matches the Rfam family "Bacterial small subunit ribosomal RNA", at positions 1267 to 1501 of the family's 1533-position model. The record is from RNAcentral. Lineage: Bacteria; Pseudomonadati; Pseudomonadota; Gammaproteobacteria; Pseudomonadales; Pseudomonadaceae.